RNAcentral lists this ribosomal RNA (857 nucleotides) under uncultured bacterium. RNAcentral's name for it is "bacterial SSU rRNA". It matches the Rfam family "Bacterial small subunit ribosomal RNA", at positions 22 to 879 of the family's 1533-position model. The record is from RNAcentral.
GCUCAGGACGAACGCUGGCGGCGUGCCUUACCCAUGCAAGUCGGACGAUCUCUUCGGGGAAACCCUUGGGGAUAGUGGCAGACGGCUGAGUAACACGUGAGGACCUGUCCAGUUGAGGGGGAUAGCCGCUCGAAAGAGCGGGUAAUACCGCGUAAGCCGAUCGGGCGUAGGGUCUGGUCGGGAAAGCAGGGGAGACCUUGCGCGACUGGGGGGACUCGCGGCCCAUCAGGUAGUAGGUGGGGUGACGGCUCACCUAGCCGAUGACGGGUAGCUGGUCUGAGAGGAUGGCCAGCCAGACUGGGACUGAGAGACGGCCCAGACUCCUACGGGGGGCAGCAGGGGGGGAUCUUGGUCAAUGGGGGAAACCCUGAACCAGCGACGCCGCGUGAGGGAAGAAGGUCUUUGGAUCGUAAACCUCUUUUGCCAGGGAAGAAGGGGGUAACCCUUGACGGUACCUGGCGAAUAAGCCCCGGCUAACUACGUGCCAGCAGCCGCGGUAAUACGUAGGGGGCGAGCGUUGUCCGGAUUUACUGGGCGUAAAGAGCGCGUAGGCGGUCUGAAGAGUCGGCUGUGAAAUCUCUGGGCCCAACCCAGAGGGGUCGGCCGAGACCUUUGGGCUUGAGGGUGGUAGAGGAAGGUGGAAUUCCGGGUGUAGUGGUGAAAUGCGUAGAGAUCCGGAGGAACACCAGUGGCGAAGGCGGCCUUCUGGGCCAUACCUGACGCUGAGGCGCGAAAGCGUGGGGAGCGAACCGAAUUAGAUACUCGGGUAGUCCACGCCCUAAACGAUGGACGCUAGGUGUCGGGGGUAUCGACCCCCCCGGUGCCCGAGCGAACGCAGUAAGCGUCCCGCCUGGGGA